UCAGAAUAUAAUCUGCUUAAGGGCACAGUUUAAGGCACAGUUCACACCAUCGUUUGAAAGAUUUGCAUCCUGUUUGGCCUCCCUUCCUACAUUCAGGUCCAAAAGUGAAGGAAGAGAAUUCUCAGCAUGGCAUCCUUAUAACCUAAGCCUUAUUGACAUCCUUCAUUCCAUCCUGAAGAUGACUUGUGAGAGAGAAAGUGUUGGUACAACGUGUGUGCCACUUUGGAGCCCUCUAAUAAGUGAUACCAUCCUAACAUUCAUAAAGGUAGUGCUGCUUGAACUGCCCAAGGCCACGGAGGAGUAAAGAGAGUAACAGUACUGAUAGUCUGUCACAGAGGACAGGACUUGGACCCUGUAGAGGACCCACUAUCAAACCUGUGCUGCAGGUGGAGGUGAUGAGGUGUAAAUUAGCUUUUAUGCAAAUGAGCAACCCAAGGGAGCAUGGGUGGUGGGAAGGAGGGGGGACAGUCAUUGUUUGGAGUUACACAGGACAUAGAGUCGUCAGGGU
Molecule: long non-coding RNA, 508 nt
Filed under: Ictidomys tridecemlineatus (thirteen-lined ground squirrel)
Lineage: Eukaryota; Metazoa; Chordata; Mammalia; Rodentia; Sciuridae
Description: lncRNA (ENSSTOG00000033402.1)
Source: RNAcentral